UUUGAUUCUAUUGAAAACAACAGUAUAAGGAAAUAAGAAUGUGGCAUAUUUCCAAACAGCUGGAGUUUGGAAAAUAUUUCCUGUUGAUGGUAUCUAAGAGAACCUUCACUCAGUGCCAACUGGACAAAGGAAUUCUUGAGAUAGCCUUCAAGUGCUUCUUAGGACUGCAGUGCCUAGACAAGCUGACUCUGACCAGUGGUUUCAGGCUCAGCUAUACGUAGGCCUCAGCAGCUUGUAACAGUUUCCAUCUCCAGGCCACACCCCAGG
Long non-coding RNA from Homo sapiens (human), 267 nucleotides. RefSeq lists it as uncharacterized. The transcript is spliced from 2 exons. Lineage: Eukaryota; Metazoa; Chordata; Mammalia; Primates; Hominidae. The record is from RefSeq and is a predicted model, not a curated record.